GACGAACGCUGGCGGCGUGCUUAACACAUGCAAGUCGAACGGAAAGGCCCUGCUUUUGUGGGGUGCUCGAGUGGCGAACGGGUGAGUAACACGUGAGUAACCUGCCCUUGACUUUGGGAUAACUUCAGGAAACUGGGGCUAAUACCGGAUAGGAGCUCCUGCUGCAUGGUGGGGGUUGGAAAGUUUCGGCUGUUGGGGAUGGACUCGCGGCUUAUCAGCUUGUUGGUGGGGUAGUGGCUUACCAAGGCUUUGACGGGUAGCCGGCCUGAGAGGGUGACCGGCCACAUUGGGACUGAGAGACGGACCAGACGCCUACGGGAGGCAGCAGGGGGGAAUAUUGCACAAUGGGCGGAAGCCUGAUGCAGAAACGCCGCGUGCGGGAUGACGGCCUUCGGGUUGUAAACCGCUUUCGCCUGUGACGAAGCGUGAGUGACGGUAAUGGGUAAAGAAGCACCGGCUAACUACGUG
RNAcentral lists this ribosomal RNA (468 nucleotides) under uncultured bacterium. RNAcentral's name for it is "partial 16S ribosomal RNA". It matches the Rfam family "Bacterial small subunit ribosomal RNA", at positions 28 to 507 of the family's 1533-position model. The record is from RNAcentral.